Prionailurus viverrinus (fishing cat) is the source of this 1985-nucleotide long non-coding RNA. RefSeq lists it as uncharacterized. Lineage: Eukaryota; Metazoa; Chordata; Mammalia; Carnivora; Felidae. The transcript is spliced from 10 exons. The record is from RefSeq and is a predicted model, not a curated record.
UCAGGAUUCUCCAGGGAAACAGAACCAAUAGGAUAUAUACAGAUAGACAGAAAAGGAAAUUCAUCAUAGGAACUGACUCAUGCAGUUAUGGAGGCAAUAACUCUCAUAACCUUCCAUCUGUAAACUGGAGACCUAGGACAGCCAGUGGUGUAAUUUAACCCAAGUCCAAGGGCUUGAGAACAUGGGGAGCUGAUGGUAUAAGUCCCCAUCUGAUUCUGGAUGUCCAAGAGCCAGGAGCGCCAAAGGAGGAGGGCAGAAGAAGAAGGAUAUCCCAGCUCAGAUAAGGACACAGAGGCUCGGAGAAGAAAAGCAAGCCACUGAAGGUUGCCCAGUGAGGAAACAGCAAACACAGACUGAGGGAUCAUCCUGGUCCAGGCAUUGUUCUAGGCCUUGGGCAAACAAGAGCGACACGGAGCCUGUCUUCAUGGACACUCUGAUAAGGAAUCAUCCCCGUUUUACAGGUCUGAGUCACCAAUGUCCAAUGUGAUUUGGGUCAGAGGAUCAGGGCCUGUCGGUUCAACCUCCCCUUUGUCCUGAGAUGCUUCCCCAGGGCAUGGCAUAGUUGGAAAACCAGUCCCCUGGAAGAAAGUUUUGGUGCCUAUUGAAAUAAAGUGGCUUCUGGAGGAGCUGGCUUGAAUCACUCAUACCUCCAUGGGAACAAGUCUUCCAGAGCUGGCUUGGACCUCCUGCCAUGUGAAGAUUCCAGCUCUGACCAAACAAGGUUCUUCUAUAUCUGGCCUGUCUCAGCUCUUCCACCUGGAUCUCCCUUCCCCCUUUGCAUCUACAUUAUACAUUCCAGCAAGUUCUCAAACAUUCUCUGAGCAUACAAUACAGUUUUACACCUCGAUGCCUUGCACCUUGAACAUUGGCUAAAAGGGAGAGAACUACUGAGCUCCAGCACCCAUUGCAGAUUUUAUUUGUUACCACCCCAACUGUCAUCUUAACCCCCAAAAGAAGCAUAAGGAACCUUGAGAGCCCUCAAAGACUGAUCCUGGAGCCAUGGAAUGUUAUACCACAAGAUACCUUCAUCCUGGUUCAAAGUACUCCCUCUAUCAUUUAUAUACAUUAACAACAGACAGCUUUCAAGGCCAGGUAAUCAUGCCCAAGUCUACUCCAAGUUCUGGAAGCACAGCUGCCAUUCUGUCCUUGAUGGAAUGAUGGAGUGACAGAGUGGCAAGGAAGGGCUCAUGGCCCUUCUGUUGCAGGUAUUCAAGCCCUGGAGUUAGCUGUGGCAUCUGGAUGGAAAAGGCUGCAAGCAAAAGAAGGUGGAAAGAUCCAGAAUCAGUUAGGAAUCCAGGUUACACUGCUUGCUGCUGUGUUUCCAGGUCUAUCUGGUACAUACUGGCUGAUCAACAAAUAUCUGUGCAAUGAAAUUAUUAGCUGUGUGACUUUGGGAAAAUUUUUUAACUUUCCUCAAUGCCCUCACAGUGAAAUGCUGGUCAUACUGUGGGGCUUCAAUUUGAGAAGAUUAAAUGAACAAAGAGGGGAAAGCCUGGAGAUGCGUAGAAUGAGCUCAACAACAAUUAGUUGACAAUAAAAAUCAAAGUCCUGCUAUGAUCUGGCUGGGAUGAAAUUCUGGAUCAUGGAAAAGUUAUGGAAACUGGGGCACACUGAGACGCAAACACUGCAUGCUGAUAGCCACAUGGUACUGCCUCAAGGAUCUAGUCCAUCAAGAGAGUGGCUGGAGAGUGGCUGGGAGACUGAGAGGUUCCCAAGAGGCCAUUGGAAGAUUCUGGCUCAGGGGGAAUUUAGUAUUCACCUGCCCAGGUGAGGAGAGCCCAGGGUCUGGAACAGAGGGCAAGGAAAUGAAUGCAGCUGAAAGUGGGAGGCAGAACAAGUCUUAGGAAAGCAAGUUCAAGCAGUAGGAGCAGUUCAAGCAGUAGAAGCAAUGAUUUGAAGCAAGGGGAUAGUGGCUGCUGAUGGCCAGGGAGGGUUUUGGAUGACUGAUAGCUCUAAAAUUUGAUGUAGAAAAUCCAGUUCUUGGG